UCUUUACGAGCUGAACCGCCGCCGGAUGGCGUGCUUGUCUGAGAAAUCAGACUAGGCCGUAAAGACGAA
RNAcentral lists this non-coding RNA (69 nucleotides) under unclassified sequences. Its description in RNAcentral is "DUF3800-IX RNA". It matches the Rfam family "DUF3800-IX RNA". Rfam says of the family: Actinobacteria, Firmicutes (1 example), Nitrospirae, Proteobacteria, Verrucomicrobia (1 example). Nearby to DUF3800 The record is from Rfam by way of RNAcentral.